This 7075-nucleotide long non-coding RNA is filed under the name Malus domestica (apple). Its description in RNAcentral is "long non-coding RNA (MDOM_LNC010622)". Lineage: Eukaryota; Viridiplantae; Streptophyta; Magnoliopsida; Rosales; Rosaceae. The record is from RNAcentral.
AACACGGGACCUUAAAAACUAGGGUUUUCCGAAGCAAAACUUACCUGAAAAUGGUGUCUACGUGAUCGUGGAGUCCUCAGGGUUGCAAUGGUAGUCUUAACUUGGACGUUGGUAUAGGUUUUAGGUGGUUUUGGUGGUUGCCCGUGCGUUCGAGAAGAAGAGAGAGAGUGAGAGUUUCUGAGGAAGAGCUGAGGAAGAGAGAGAGAGAGUGACUGAGGAGAUGAGAGAGAGACAACAAACGGGAAAUGGGGAGGGAUUUAGGGUGUAGGACCCUACCUAAAGUCCAAACACAAAAUUAUUAGUCCAAGUUUAAGUUUAAUUAACAAUAACUUAGGAAUUUUAGGUAAAACCAAUACCAAAAUUACGCACCUUAAUCCCGUUUAAGGGCAUUUUCGUCUUUUCACGUCCUCGGAAUUAAAAUUCCAGGACGGGCUGUGACAAUCUUCCCUCCUUAUAGAAUUUCGUCCCCGAAAUUCCAGCAAUCAACUAAAUCAACCAUACUCCAACAAUAGCUUCGGGUAAAUCUCUCUCAUCCGUUUCUCUUUCUCCCACAUAAUUUUCUACUGAAUGAUUUCCUUCACAAAGCUUUUACCACUUACUCUGUCUUAAUUCUCAGGACCUUCUUUUCCCAAUCCAAAGUAGUCCUUGGUUCCUUAUCAAGUCGAAUCCAAUUGAAUUCUAAAUAGUUGCACCAGAAUCCCAUGUGACGAAUCUGCCACCUAGUGACAACGCAUCGAAAUAUAAUGCAUUAUGCACCUUAGCCAAUUUUGAAGGCAUCACAAACUUAUAUGCAACUUCAUUGAUUCUUUUAAUGAUCAAAACGGUCUGAUGUGUUUAAGACUUAUCUUGUCUCCUUUCCAAUUCUCGCCAUUUCUGUUCGUGGUGAAUUUUCCAAAAUAUCGAAUCAUGAAACACAUCAUGCACUUACGACAACUCUGGAAGCCAUUCAAAUUUGUAAGCAACUUCACCAACCUCUCGAUGAUCACUUAAAGUCCGAUGUACUUAGGAUUUAACUUGCCUUCCUUUCCAGACCGAAUCAUACUUUCCUAAGGUGAAAACUUCGAAAAUAUAAAAUCAUCUGUCUUAUACACUUGAUUAGUGGCAUAUCCAUCUGUUAAUCUCUUUUGCCAUUCCUGGCUACUUUCAGGUUAACUUACUCACCUGAAUAUUUUGAGGAGACUCAUCCAUAGUCUCAGGGUCUACUAAAACUCUUUCGUGAUCGAAUCUUCCUCUACCCAGAAGCAUUAGGCACAUACUUUUCGUUUGCUUGUAUUCACAUAUCAUUUGAUUCACGAAUCAUGUACUCAUUAUUUUUCCCUUCUUUCUCUACCCUGGGUUAAUUCUUAAAUUUCCUCGUCAAACAUUUAAGUUUUGAGUACGACCUUACCAAACAGGCCUAACUUGAAAUUUAACAAGUAUAACUUCUUCUCGAUCUUCCAUUCUUAAUUUUUCUUCCGUUGGUUUUCAAUCCACAAGAUGAUACUCUUGGCAAACGUGCCAGACAUUAAUCUUACUGUAGUCUUCUCACCAAGUGCUUCAGCUAGAACAAACUUUACGAUCACCCUAACAUUUGCAUCAACAUGCCUCCAAUACCAUUCAAGAAACAUCACUAAAAAUUUAUGAUUACCACUAUUCUCUGGGAAUACCAAAAUACGUGCAUGAGUGAGGAAAUACUUCAGUUGUUAAAUCCUUUGCUUACAAUUCCUUCCCACUCAUACCUAACCUCUUUUCUCAACAGUCUCGUCAAUGACAAAGCAACGACUGAAAAAUCUUUCACAACCAUCCAAGAUAGCCUGGUAAGCUAAGAAAUUCCAAAUCUCAAUUACGACUCGUGGUUGUUCCAAAUUUUAAUUUCUGUUACCUUUUAAGGAUUCACUUGAAUACCUUAAGAAUAUAUAACAUAUCCCAGAAAUGCUGCUUGAUUCAUCCAACAUUCGCAUUUGCUAAACUUAGCAUACAAUCGACAUUCUUCCAAUCUUUGUUCUACCGACUUAAUACGUUUACAUGCUCUGCUCUGGCUCAGAAUAUGCCAGAAUAUCUUCAAUGAAAAUGAUAUCAAUUAUCAAGGCAUUAUUGGAAUACUUCAUCCAUCAACUCAUAAAACCGCAUGAGUAUCCACAUAGCAUCACCAAACUUUAUAAGGACCAUAACAAGUCCAGAAACCAUCUUAUGAUCAACGUCACUUAUAAUAUUCAAUUGGUAGUAACCAGAUCUCAAUUCAAUCUUUGAAUCUUCGCAAUUACUUCUGAGCUGGUUAAAUAAACAUCAGUACAUCACCAUGGAUAACGGUUCUCAAUCGUUACCCGACUCCAUUGUCUAUAAUCAAUGAACAGUCUCAAGAUCCAUUUUCUUCCUCACCAACAAACUGGGCUCCUCAAAAGUGUUGUACUAGGUUGAAUAAAACUUUUAUCAACCAAUUCCCUCAACUGAAUUUCCAAUUCCCUUAACUCAUCAUGAACCAAUCUCCAAUAUAAAUUUAUACCUGGCAACAAAUCAAUAGUGAACCUCAUAUCUCUGCCUGAAGGCAAUCCAAGUAUACUUUCAGGGAAGACAUCAAGAAAAGUCUAACUCUUUCGACAUUAUUCACACUACUCCAAACAACAUCAUUUAGCACCACAUGAGCUAAGUAUUUUUGACAGCCUUUCGAAAACAAUCUCUUUGCUCUCACAGCAUAAAUAAUGGCUGAACUCAAUCCACUUUGCAUACUUACAAAAGUAAUCUCUGGUCAUCCAGAUCGAUGGAAAGUACUGGUUUCCCUUAACAUUCCGUCUUGUCACAAUUAUAACCAACCAAUCUAAUGGAAAUAAUUUAACCGACACAAUACAUACUCUAUUACUACUAAGCAUUCUGAAUAAGUACAAAAUAAUCUACCGGUUUACUUACUUAACGAAUCCACGAAUGAGUUAUUAAUAUUACGGUCUGCAGCCCGCAAUACUGAUAAAUCAUCGUUGUCUCGAUAAGUAGGCAACCACUCACAAAGAUAUAACAUUACUAUUUUGUCACUCAAUGCAAAAUACAUACACUCGUCUCAACUACAUUUAUUUACUACUCUCUAGGUAAUAACAUACAUAAUAAGAAAUAUAUCAGCCGAAGUCAACUAGAAUGACCAAUACGGUUGAUUCAACUCUUAUCUCAAUAAUACGUCGGCCGGAUCCACUCCGCGUGGUCGGUACGGCCGAGCCUAUAACUCACAAAUUUCGCAUGUGUCAAUCGAAUCCACUUCUCGUGGCCUGUACGGCUGAACAUAUAACUCAUCAAAUCUCUCUGUACUCACAGUCAAUCCGACCAAACUACUAAGUUUAUAACUCUUCUGAAUUGACACUAUGAUAUCAUGGAAAAUUAUUGAGUACAACUGAUUCUAGGGACGAUUCACAAUUCUGUGUCCCCUCUGUUCACAUAAACACAUUCAUUAAUUUCACACUUCCCAAAGUGUUAAUUUUUGUACCUGCAGCACAAGGUACAUUUCCUUUACUCGAGACACCUUGUCUCAAAUAUCUAGGAUUACCAGUAUAUCCAUCACUUUUAUUCUGACCAGCGACAUUAAAACCUCAGCUAGAAGAAUUAACUCUAGCUUCACUUCUUUCGAAGCUCUAAAUCUUUCUAUAUCCUUGAUAUGACGAAUCAUUAACUUUAUCGUCUUCUUUUAAUUCCCAUUCAUUUCUUAUUCUUCUUUAUUCUCGUUGCUCAUGUUCUCAGAGUCCUCAAGAUUCAACAACAUCUAGCAUACUCCUGAUAAGAACUACAAUGGAUAGUGGUCACCCAAAAUACCACUUCCCUUUUGUCACCCAGCUUAAAACAACAUAACACCUCCACCAAAUUAACAACAAUAUCUGGAUGGAACGAGGCUAGUCUGAAAACUUUCUAUAAUAUCCCUCGAUCAUCACCUUCCUUGUCUCAUAUUUGUAAACUCUUGUUUACUACCAUCGAUAAAUGCCGGAGGGAUAAACUUUUCCUUUAAACAAGUCCUUAAACAAUUCUCAAUCGACUGAUUCCUCUGGUGACAACAAUUCAUACUCCUGUUUCCACCAGGAUACAAAUUCAUAACCAAAACCAGGUAGUCGUCUCGACCCCUUGUCAGAAGGAAGAUUCCUUUGACUUGCAUAUUCCGAAACAUCUUUUCCAAUUGGUUAAUCCGUCACUUUGUUCCCUCAGGUUCAUCAUUUCUCUUAAGUGAUUCAAAUUCAACUCAUAACCCGUCUUAAAAUGUCCAUUUUUCUAAUAUACUGAAUCACCAUAAGAAUAGUUUCCCCUAACCCGCUAAAUCAGGGAGACUAAGUUCCUCUAACUACGUGGUUUGCUACGAGGCGGUGUAGUUCUGACAGAAUUCACUAGAAACUUCUCAAGAUGUCCAAGAUUGCAACCAUGCUCUGAUACCAACUGACAAACCCCAUCCCGAAGGAGGGCAUGCUGGCCGUCACGUGAGAGUGACGUAACCAUUUGCACAGUACGGAAGCUUUAAGAUACAAUUUAAAUUGAUACACCCGAAGGUGAGUCCUAAUUUUGUCCAAUCUGUCAGAACACCGUCGAAUUCCUCGUAGUCACCACACCUUUGUGAUUCCUGAACCUGGAGGGGCGCAAAACCAAAAUUGAGUGGGUCAGUAAAACAAUUCUUUUCCAAAUCCAAACAUUUCUCAAAACGUUGUAACCCCUCUCCGUAAAACCUGUAUACUUUCCCAGAAAUGUAAAAUAUAAAUAUACAUAUAUAUUCUCAAAACUUCAUUUUUACUAUCUCAACAUUAUCUCUUUAUCAAUCAUGCCAUGCCAUGUCAUCUCAACAUUUCUCAUAUUAAUUAUGCCAUGCCACAUCAUCUCAACAGUAAUAAGGUAUGAAUGCAUCAACAUAAUCAUAUCAGGUGCAAGAAAGUAAUCAACCGUAGGCCCUCUAAUAGCCCUAUACGGUUGAACCUAGAGCUCAAAAUCUAUCAUUAUCACUCUACCAGAGUCACCUCUGUGACCCGUCCGGCCUUCUGCACACAAGUUACGCUCUAGUGCUUCUCAUAAAUCAUCUGUGCACAUAAUCUAAGGUCACCCACCAGUCGGAAUCUCACUAACACUCUCGCGACUGGUCUGUCGUACCCACUCCGUGUGGACUGUACGACUAGCAUCUACUUGGAUCCAAGGCGAGCGUGCGAUGCGGUGAAUACUAUAAGCACUAAACCAUGGUGCAGGAUUUGAGCUCAAUAUAUAUCAUCAUCAUCAUAACAGUAAUUAAAUACUCAUCUGUGCGUCCACCGCACCAUUUCAUACAUAUGCAUCAUAAAUCAAUUCUUACCUGUGCGUCCACCGCACCAAUUCAUACAUAUGCAUCAUAUAUUAAUUCAUGCAUGGCAUUUCAACUCACAUUUCUAUAUACUUUUCAUAUCAAUUCUAUGCAUGGUAUUUCACUUCCCGUUUUUCCACAUAACUCAUAUGCAUUUCAUUUUAAACAUAAUUUCAUGCAUUUUCAAUUUCUGGGAAAACGUUAAGUAUAUAUAUAUAUAUACGGAAAACAAAACUGCCCACUCACCUGGAGUUCGUCCAACAACUCCCUAGCACCACACAUCAAGGCGUCACGACGAUCGCCGCCUAGAAUAGUAAUCAAAUCCAACCUCAGAAUUCAUAUCGAUAGAAUAUAUAACUUAUAUAAAAUACGUCACUACGUAGUUCGAUCCGGAAGAUCUGCCACUCAGAUUUUAAAUCCAUAACUUCCAGAGGUCCACAAUAUAUCUCUAGGAUAACAUCCUAAAAUUUCAUUACCAUCCAACGGUCGGAUCUCCGUCAAUUUCCAAAACUAAGUGACGGUUAACAUUUUAUAUAUUAUGGACUUACAAUUCCAAUUCCGGAAGAUCCGUAACUCGGAUUCCCAAUCCGUAAGUUCCAAAAUCCUCAAAUAUUACGUAUUACAACGUAUCAAAGUUUGGUGACGAUCCAACGGUCGGAUCAUCAAUUCACAUUUUCACCUAAAUGUGAAAACUAUAAAACGUUAUUUGAACACCUAACCAACAAUCUUCAAUAACUUUCUCAUACGGUGUUCAAUUUAGGUAUAUGAAUAUACCACAGUGAUCUACUCGACGUCACGGACGUCGACAUAUUUUUAAAAUAAUUUUAUUUUUAUUUUUUAUUUUUACUGUAGCACCUUCUUCUUCCUUGGGUCGCCGGACUGGUUUUUCCGGCGGCCGUUUUCUGGGCAGUUUUUCAAAUUGCCAUAACUUUGUCAUUUCUCAACGAAAUCAAGUGAUUCAAAAACUAAAGUUGUAGCCCUUGAAGAUACAAAGAGAAUGGUACCUUGCACAACACCUAGUUCGCCGUGGUUUGGCCGGAAACUUCCUCGAAAGCCUCGGAGGUCGCCGGAAACUGGGUAUUUUUCAAAUGAGUAUAACUUCUUCAAUACUCAACGAAAUUGAGUGAAACAAAAAGGAAAGUUGUAGUACUUGACGAGACGAAGAGAUUGAUACCUAUCUCGACUCCUAACUCGCCGGGGAUUCGCCGGAAAACGCAUCGAAAGCUCCGGCCAAACUUUGAACUUGUCGAUCUCCGUGUUCUUACGUCCAAAAACUUCCAACGAAGCACUCCGAGCUUCCUUGGGACCUCACUAAGCUCGCUGUGAUCUUGUUUUAGCCUAAAUCGUAACCAUUUAAAAGAUCAUGAACAGUAUAUAAACACGGGACCUUAAAAACUAGGGUUUUCCGAAGCAAAACUUACCUGAAAAUGGUGUCUACGUGAUCGUGGAGUCCUCAGGGUUGCAAUGGUAGUCUUAACUUGGACGUUGGUAUAGGUUUUAGGUGGUUUUGGUGGUUGCCCGUGCGUUCGAGAAGAAGAGAGAGAGUGAGAGUUUCUGAGGAAGAGCUGAGGAAGAGAGAGAGAGUGACUGAGGAGAUGAGAGAGAGACAACAAACGGGAAAUGGGGAGGGAUUUAGGGUGUAGGACCCUACCUAAAGUCCAAACACAAAAUUAUUAGUCCAAGUUUAAGUUUAAUUAACAAUAACUUAGGAAUUUUAGGUAAAACCAAUACCAAAAUUACGCACCUUAAUCCCGUUUAAGGGCAUUUUCGUCUUUUCACGUCCUCGGAAUUAAAAUUCCAGGACGGGCUGUGACA